This 335-nucleotide long non-coding RNA is filed under the name Serinus canaria (Common canary). RNAcentral describes it as "lncRNA (ENSSCAG00000010223.1)". Lineage: Eukaryota; Metazoa; Chordata; Aves; Passeriformes; Fringillidae. The record is from RNAcentral.
AAUGGCUGCUCUAAAACGCCUUGGUGUAAACAACCCGGGGAAGGACUUCCUUGAACUGCCAGUUACCUGAGCGCCAUCCAUCUCACUAAAGCGUCUGCCCCAAGAGGGGUAGUACCGCCAGGAAAGAAAACAAAUAAAAGACACCCAGCAUGUCGCAGCGCAGGCACAGGGUGGGGAAUGCUGUCCCCUGGAGGGGCUGAGGGAUCCUCAGCAAGGAGCUAUGGAUCACACAUUUUGGAAGAGGCUGUGCUACUAGCCAGAAAAUUUUCCUCCUAAUGGAAGCCCAGCCAACCACAGGAUCUGCUGCAGACCACAGACCAGCCAAGCUCUACUAA